ACCGAGGGCCGCCGAGCGCAAGAGAAAAUCAUAUAAUGAAGGUGGAUGUAUCCAUUACCCAGCUUCCAUAUCAACUCAGGACAAGUCUUGUUUCAACCAUACUCCCUCAUCUACUGUGUGUGUCUGUAAAAGAUAAGAACUAUUUUCAAAAAGUAGCCACAAUACCAUUAUCAUACCUAAAAAAACAAUAAUUCUUUAAUAUCAUUAAAUGCCCAGUGAGUGAUUUCCAGUUAUCUCCUAAAAACAGAAAUUAUUUUUGUAAUAAGAAAAAAAAGGCUGAAAAAGAUAAAAUUGUCAAUCCAAAGAGCAGAUUAGUACAAGUUUCCUGGAGCUUUGUUUAGUGAUACUUAUCAAGAGCCUUAACAAUGUGCUUACCUUUUGCCCUAGUAAUCCCAACCUGUGAAUUUAUUCUAAGAAGAAAAAAGAACAUUGAAGAGGUAUACAAACAUUGUUCACUAGAGUGUGCAGUGUCUGUUACAGAGAAGUUGUUUGAAAACUAUUUGUUGAGGCCAGAUGUGGUGGCUUACAUCUGUAAUACUAGUACUUUGGGAGACUGAGGCAGGAGGAUUGCUUGAGGCCAGGAGUUCCAGACCAGCCUGAGCAACAUAGCAAUACCCCAUCUCUACAAAAACAUUUUUUAAAAAUUAGCCAGGCAUGGUGGCUCAUGCCCAUAAUUCUAACUACUUGGGAGGCCAAGACAGGAGGGUUGCUUGAACCUAGGAUUUCAAGGCUAUAGUGAGCUGUGAUCACAUCACUAAAACUCCAGCCUGGAUGACAGAGCAAGACCCUAUCUCAAAAGAAAAAAAAACAAACCACAAUUUUUUUUGAAUUUGAAGUUGAGCUCCUGCUGUGGUUUGCAGCUUUGUUUGUAAAAGAAAAGCUGAAAGUCAUGGAAGUGUGUGACAUUAGGGUACUGGCUAAAUAAAUGAGGGCAGAUCCAUAAAAUGAAACAUUGUUCUGUCAUGUAAAAUCAGAUUCUAAUAAUACACAUAGAUAACCACCGCUUCCAAGAGGCAGAACUUCAUCCUCAUCCUCUAAUGGACUAUGGAAAGAAGAAAAACAGUCCUUUUACAGUGAAGAAACUCAGCAGAUGCUCCCUCAACAUCGCUGGUGGUAAGUCUUGUGGCUACUGGGUACCCCCUGAUACAAUGACAGGGGCACCUCACCUCUGUGAUCUUUUACCCAAAAACUAAUAACCUCAGUCUCAUGAGAAAAACAUCAGACAAACUCAGAUGAGGGGCAUUCUACAAAAUACGUGAGCAGCACUCUUCGAAUGUGUCAAGGUCGUGAAAAACAAGAAAAGACUCAGAACUGUUAGGGACCAGAGGAGCCUCAGGAGAUGACGGAGACUGAAUGCCAUGUGGGAUGCCGGAUGAGAUCAUGGAACAGAAAAAGGGCAUUAGUGGGAAACUGGCGAAAUCCUAAUAGAGUCUGUCGUCCAGCUAAUAAUGUUUUACUAAUGUUAACUUUUUAGUUUUGACAAAUGUAGCAUGAUUAUGUAAGAUGUUCACAUUAGGGGAAGGUGGGGGAAGAGUAUGGGAACUUUGUGGAACUUUGCUGUAAAUCUAAAAUCACUAAACAAAAAUUAUUCAAAAAAUCAGGGUGUAGAUAUUUAUUAGUAUAGAAAUGUAUUCACAACAUAUUAAGGGGAAAGUAUGUAUGGCCUCACAUAGUUUUUGCUGAAUGAGACCGUAUUUGUAAAAACUCUAAUAACAAGGUGUAUGUCUACAUGAAUGUGUAUAUAUGCACAUGUAGGCUGGGCACGGUGGCUCAUGCCUGUAAUCCC
RNAcentral lists this long non-coding RNA (1786 nucleotides) under Homo sapiens (human). RNAcentral's name for it is "non-protein coding lnc-TNFRSF13B-3:4". Lineage: Eukaryota; Metazoa; Chordata; Mammalia; Primates; Hominidae. The record is from RNAcentral.